RNAcentral lists this ribosomal RNA (468 nucleotides) under uncultured bacterium. Its description in RNAcentral is "partial 16S ribosomal RNA". It matches the Rfam family "Bacterial small subunit ribosomal RNA", at positions 28 to 507 of the family's 1533-position model. The record is from RNAcentral.
GACGAACGCCGGCGGUGCGCUUAACACAUGCAAGUCGAACGGAAAGGCCCCGUCUCUGCGGGGUGCUCGAGUGGCGACCGGGUGAGUAACACGUGAGUAACCUGCCAUUGCCUCUGGGAUAACUUCAGGAAACUGGGGCUAAUACCGGAUAGGUGCUCCUGCUGCAUGGUGGGGGUUGGAAGGUUUCGGCGGUUGGGGAUGGACUCGCGGCUUAUCAGCUUGUUGGUGGGGUAGUGGCUUACCAAGGCUUUGACGGGUAGCCGGCCUGAGAGGGUGACCGGCCACAUUGGGGUUGAGGUACGGCCCAGCCUCCUACGGGAGGCAGCAGUGUGGAAUAGUGCAUGAUGGGCGGAAGCCUUAUGCAGCAACGCCGCGUGCGGGAUGACGGCCUUCGGGUUGUAGACCGCUUUCGCCUGUGACGAAGCGUGAGUGGCGGGAAUGGGUAAAGAAGCAGCGUAUAACUAGGUG